CCUACGGGGGGCAGCAGUGAGGAAUAUUGGUCAAUGGACGAGAGUCUGAACCAGCCAAGUAGCGUGAAGGAUGACUGCCCUAUGGGUUGUAAACUUCUUUUAUAUGGGAAUAAAAUGUUCCACGUGUGGGAUUUUGUAUGUACCAUAUGAAUAAGGAUCGGCUAACUCCGUGCCAGCAGCCGCGGUAAUACGGAUGAUCCGAGCGUUAUCCGGAUUUAUUGGGUUUAAAGGGAGCGUAGGUGGAUUGUUAAGUCAGUUGUGAAAGUUUGCGGCUCAACCGUAAAAUUGCAGUUGAAACUGGCAGUCUUGAGUACAGUAGAGGUGGGCGGAAUUCGUGGUGUAGCGGUGAAAUGCUUAGAUAUCACGAAGAACUCCGAUUGCGAAGGCAGUUCACUGGACUGCAACUGACACUGAGGCUCGAAAGUGUGGGUAUCAAACAGGAUUAGAUACCCUUGUAGUC
Molecule: ribosomal RNA, 460 nt
Filed under: uncultured bacterium
Lineage: Bacteria
Description: partial 16S ribosomal RNA
Rfam family: Bacterial small subunit ribosomal RNA
Source: RNAcentral